UACGUAGAGUGCGAGCGUUAAUCGGAAUUACUGGGCGUAAAGCGUGCGCAGGCGGUUUUGUAAGCCAGAUGUGAAAUCCCCGGGCUCAACCUGGGAAUGGCAUUUGGGACUGCAAGGCUGGAGUGUGGCAGAGGGGACUAGAAUUCCUGGUGUAGCAGUGAAAUGCGUAGAUAUCAGGAGGAAUACCGAUGGCGAAGGUAGGUCCCGGGGCUAACAAUGACUGUCAUGCACGAAAGCGUGGGGAGCAAACAGG
This 253-nucleotide ribosomal RNA is filed under the name uncultured bacterium. Its description in RNAcentral is "partial 16S ribosomal RNA". It matches the Rfam family "Bacterial small subunit ribosomal RNA", at positions 524 to 776 of the family's 1533-position model. The record is from RNAcentral.